RNAcentral lists this long non-coding RNA (2166 nucleotides) under Homo sapiens (human). RNAcentral's name for it is "HSALNT0051932". The record is from RNAcentral. Lineage: Eukaryota; Metazoa; Chordata; Mammalia; Primates; Hominidae.
UAAUUGUGCUCCAGAGGUUCAACAAAAUGCUGGAUGCUUUGAGUCAGGUAAUGAGAUUAUAAACUUAGUAGAUAGUGAAAAGAUCAGGUUCCUAAUAUAAAUCCUCCAAAGACCUUUCUAAGAUAUAAUUUUCAUUUCGAUUCUGUUUCUUGGCAAAAAAAUCUUCCAACUCCCUCUGAGACUGCAGGCCAAUGCAUGCAUAGUCUGCCUCUGUCUCUAUAAGAAAGCAGACACAAAGGCAAUGCAGUUUGAGUUGGUCAGGUGCCCCAGCAUCUGUGCUUCCAAAGUGACUGUUAAUGUUUUAGGUAAUGGGCACCCUGGUGGUUCUGGCUCAUAUCCAUGUGGCCUGAAAGGCCAUGUACUCUGACACUUUCUGAAAUAGUGUCACUAAAAUCCUGACACUCCUUUUCCUAAUCACUGAUUAAGAAACUGUGAUUGAUUCAAAUAUGAAAUUAUGAUUUCACAAGUCUUUCUAUUAGCCUGGGAACAGAUGUACUGCUAUAUUGCCAGAAUUCGAGUGCUUUGGCUUUGCUCCAAACUGUGCCUUGCACAUAUACCAGUUUUGUUAGAGAAAAGCUUUGUGUACAAAGAAUAAUUAGACAAAUUCUUUAGGUUAUAAAUCUUUUCGUCCUUCUCUACUUAAAAAAAAAAACCCUUGCAACAAAUAAUAUUUUUAAAAUAUUUAUGUGCUUUUUACUCUUUAUAUUUCCUUAUACAUAUUUUUUUCUUUAUUGCCCCAAGGCAUGGUUCUACUUCAAGGCCAGGGGUUAGGGAAGUGCCAGGAGGGUACUACAGCAAUUACAGCAUGACUACAGUUAAGAUUCUUUUUUUCCAACUACUAUUAAAUUUUAAAGUCUCCAGAAAGUCAACCGUGCAAACUAGAGUUUGUCUAUAAAAAUAGUUUGCAUUCAUGUUCUUAUCAUCUUUCUUUUAUUUAAAAUAUAAAGUGGUAACCCUUGUCAACAUGACCGUACAGCUUUACAGAGUGGAAUUCUUUUCCAAACAGGAAGAAAACUGAGGAUAAGCUAUUUCCAGUCCUGACAGAUUGUGGAGAAAAAAAAGAGAAAGUUAAGAAAAAGAGGAGAUGAAAGACAUGUUUAAACAUUGCUUUUCCAAGUUCAAGCCCUCAAGCAGGAAAAUGUGUCUGGAAACCAGAAGUCCAAGAUCAAGGUGUCUGUAGAGUUGGUUUCUGGUGAAGCCUCUCUCCUUGGGUUGCAGAUGGGCAUAUGGCCUUUGCCCUUAUAUAGCCUCUCAUUGGUGUGCACAUGGAGAGAAAUAUAUCUCUGGCCUUCCCCUCCUUUUAAGAACUCCAGUCCUAUUUGAUUAGAUUUCUACCUUUAUUAUCUCAUUUAACCUUAAUUACUUCCUUAAAGGCCCUAUUUCAAAUACAGUUACCUUGAGGGUUAGGCCUUCAACAUAUAAAUGUAAGGGGACACAAUUCAGUUCAUAACAGUAGCUUCUCACCAACAGCUAAUGAGGAUCUGAGGCCCUCAGUCCAUUAGCUAACUAGGAACUUAAUGCUGCCAACAAGCAAUAAGUAAGCUUGGAAACAGAUUCUUUCCCAGUUGAGUCUUCAGAUGAGACUGCAGACCCUGAGCCAAUGCCUUGAUUUUGGGAUUCUGAAAAAUUAUAAAGCCAAGGACACAAAUAAGCCAGGCCAAGAUUCUUGGAGGACAGAAUCUGUGAAAUGGUAAAUAUGUGUUAUUUUAAGGCAUGCAGUUUUGUGGUAAGUUGUUAGACAAUAAUAAAAAACUAAUACAGAGCAGUAGAUUUGCUUAGAGCCAGGAGGUCAUCCAUGGAGUCCAGGAAUCAGGUAAGCACCUUGUGUAGUAAUGAAAAGAGUGAUUUUGCUGAAGCAAACCUUCUGUCUCUUUUCAGUAUGUUAGAGAAGCAGAGAAGUUUUAGUGUGGUUAAGAACAUGGGUCCUAAAAUCAGACAAAUCUGAGUUCUAAUUCCUCUGGCACUUCAUAGCAGUGCAUCUGUGGACAAGCUACUUUAUAGCAAAAGUGAAUGCAGCAUAAGAAAUUCAAAGCAAAGUAGUAUAAUAUUUAAAAUGAUUAUAAUAACUAUGCUGAGCAAUACGUGAAAUAAAGGUGAAUUAUUUGGCAUAUAAGAUGUAUUUAAUUAACAUUAGCUUUUAUUGUUAGCCUGCAAGUAGGAAAAGGG